UACGGGGGUGAGGCGAGCGUUGUCCGGAAUCACUGGGCGUAAAGGGCGCGUAGGCGGCUUUCUAAGUCGGGGGUGAAAUCCUGGAGCUCAACUCCAGAACUGCCUUCGAUACUGGAAAGCUCGAGUCCGGGAGAGGUGAGUGGAACUGCGAGUGUAGAGGUGAAAUUUGUAGAUAUUCGCAAGAACACCAGUGGCGAAGGCGGCUCACUGGCCCGGUACUGACGCUGAGGUGCGAAAGCGUGGGGAGCAGACAGG
This 255-nucleotide ribosomal RNA is filed under the name uncultured bacterium. RNAcentral describes it as "partial 16S ribosomal RNA". It matches the Rfam family "Bacterial small subunit ribosomal RNA", at positions 524 to 776 of the family's 1533-position model. The record is from RNAcentral.